Morus notabilis is the source of this 728-nucleotide long non-coding RNA. RefSeq lists it as uncharacterized. The record is from RefSeq and is a predicted model, not a curated record. The transcript has 3 exons. Lineage: Eukaryota; Viridiplantae; Streptophyta; Magnoliopsida; Rosales; Moraceae.
GGGGAUCGAUGCCGCGAAGGCGAGCGAGGCCGUGAAGGUCCUGGUGGGAGAGGGAGAAGGAAGGGCUCGCCGUGGCGACCGUCAGGGCCGGGGUCAAGUGCUUGGGGAUUUUGGUUGGCUGCGAUUUGGAGGAUUGGAAUUCGGUGAAAUUAGGGAUCGAGACGCUCAUAAAGUUCUUCGUCGAUAAUCGUCCCAAGAACACACAUUUCUGCCUCAAAUACUUUGAGAGAGUACUUUGAGGUCUUUAAGAGUACUCAUUAGAGUGAAUCACGUGGAUGGACAACUGAGAGAGCAAAUAAAGAUUAUGAACAAAUGAUCAAGACUCGCGAUGCUCGUUUAAGUGAACUACCAGAGGGGGAUUUAGAACUUGACUAUGAUGCCGAGGAAGAAAUUUACUCAAGUUUUGUCAAGUGAGAGGUAUGAAAAAUAUGGUUUCAAACGUGGUAUAGGUCUUGUAUCAAGACAAGCAUCACAAGUUCACAAAUUUGGAGGGUCAGGAUAUAUGAAAGCCUUCAAAAUGAAAAGUUUAGGAUCACAAACGUCAUAUAUCGGACAUGGAAAUUCUAAUGAAGCAAUAACAGAAGUUUAUUCAAAAACUACUUAAGCAGAUCAUCUUGGAUCUUCCGUCCCAAGAAGAGAAGAUCCUCCGCCACCGCCACCGCCACCACCGGCCUCAGUUUGUUAGAGCGUUUAAUUCUUGUAAUAUUAAGAUUUUACUAGUACAAUAU